RNAcentral lists this ribosomal RNA (514 nucleotides) under uncultured bacterium. RNAcentral describes it as "bacterial SSU rRNA". It matches the Rfam family "Bacterial small subunit ribosomal RNA", at positions 996 to 1509 of the family's 1533-position model. The record is from RNAcentral.
UUUAGCAGAGAUGCUUUAGUGCCUUCGGGAACUCUGAGACAGGUGCUGCAUGGCUGUCGUCAGCUCGUGUUGUGAAAUGUUGGGUUAAGUCCCGCAACGAGCGCAACCCUUAUCCUUUGUUGCCAGCACGUAAUGGUGGGAACUCAAAGGAGACUGCCGGUGAUAAACCGGAGGAAGGUGGGGAUGACGUCAAGUCAUCAUGGCCCUUACGAGUAGGGCUACACACGUGCUACAAUGGCGCAUACAAAGAGAAGCAACCUCGCGAGAGCAAGCGGACCUCAUAAAGUGCGUCGUAGUCCGGAUUGGAGUCUGCAACUCGACUCCAUGAAGUCGGAAUCGCUAGUAAUCGUAAAUCAGAAUGUUACGGUGAAUACGUUCCCGGGCCUUGUACACACCGCCCGUCACACCAUGGGAGUGGGUUGCAAAAGAAGUAGAUAGCUUAACCUUCGGGAGGGCGUUUACCACUUUGUGAUUCAUGACUGGGGUGAAGUCGUAACAAGGUAAGCGUAGCGAG